This 440-nucleotide ribosomal RNA is filed under the name uncultured bacterium. RNAcentral describes it as "partial 16S ribosomal RNA". It matches the Rfam family "Bacterial small subunit ribosomal RNA", at positions 338 to 795 of the family's 1533-position model. The record is from RNAcentral.
CCUACGGGUGGCUGCAGUGGGGAAUAUUGCACAAUGGGGGAAACCCUGAUGCAGCGACGCCGCGUGAGUGAAGAAGUAUUUCGGUAUGUAAAGCUCUAUCAGCAGGGAAGAGAAUGACGGUACCUGAGUAAGAAGCCCCGGCUAACUACGUGUCAGCAGCCGCGGUAAUACGUAGGGGGCACGCGUGAUACGGAUUUACUGGGUGUAAAGGGAGCGUAGACGGCGAUGCAAGUCUGAAGCGAAAGCCCGCGGCUCAACCGCGGAGCGUCUUUUGAAACUUUUUUGCUGGAGUACCGGAGAGGUAAGCGGAAUUCCUGGUGUAGCGGUGAAAUGCGUAGAUAUUAGGAGGAACACCAGUGGCGAAGGCGGCUUACUGGACGGUAACUGACGUUGAUGCGCGAAAGCGUGGGGAGCAAACAGGAUUAGAUACCCCAGUAGUC